Molecule: long non-coding RNA, 326 nt
Organism: Cucumis melo (muskmelon)
Lineage: Eukaryota; Viridiplantae; Streptophyta; Magnoliopsida; Cucurbitales; Cucurbitaceae
Exons: 3
Source: RefSeq, a predicted model, not a curated record
CAACGAUACAUAAUUUUGAACCACAAAAAAAUUGAAGUUAAGAAAAAAAUGAAAUCAGUUGUAAUUUUUUUGAUUAUUCUUAGCAUACUUGGUGCAGAAUCCACAUCUACAUUUAAGGAUUCCCCUACGGAUACCAACCAUGCGGUUGAUCUUCAUAAAUUUUGUAAACUUGGUUGUGUCUUUUCUCUUUGCAGCAAUGUUUCCACCCAAGAAAACCUGAAUGUGGACAAAGUAGAAAGUUGUGUGAAUGGGUGUGAUCAAACGUGUAAGAAGAACUGAUCCUAAAGAAAAGAAGAUGAAGUAUACUGAGAGGAGAAGGGAACAGG